This is a non-coding RNA of Capsicum annuum, 108 nucleotides long. The record is from Rfam. NCBI's taxonomy places the organism in Eukaryota, Viridiplantae, Streptophyta, Magnoliopsida, Solanales, Solanaceae.
CUGUUAGUGAUGUGGACAGUCUUGAAGAAGAGACUUGAAGCGUUCCCAAGCAUGAUAAAGGUUUUCAUCAGGCUUUUAUUUAAAGCUCACUAUCUCACUACUAAGUCU